AGGAUCAUUAUUGAAAUAAACUUGAUAAGUUGCUGCUGGUUCUCUAGGGAACAAUGUGCACACUUGUCAUCUUUGUAUCUUCACCUGUGCACCUUUUGUAGACCUGAUUAUCUCUCUGAAUGCUUUAUAGCACUCAGGAUUGAGGAUUGACUUCUUGUCUCUUCUUACAUUUUCAGGUCUAUGUUUCUUCAUAUACCCCAAUGUAUGUUUAUAGAAUGUAAUUAAUGGGCCUUUGUGCCUAUAAACCUUUACAACUUUCAGCAACGGAUCUCUUGGCUCUCGCAUCGAUGAAGAACGCAGCGAAAUGCGAUAAGUAAUGUGAAUUGCAGAAUUCAGUGAAUCAUCGAAUCUUUGAACGCACCUUGCGCUCCUUGGUAUUCCGAGGAGCAUGCCUGUUUGAGUGUCAUUAAUAUUAUCAACCUUUUGGGUUGGAUUUGGGUUUGCUGGCCUCUAUCAGGUCAGCUCCCCUUAAAUGCAUUAGCAGACAACAUUUUGCCAAAUGUUCAUUGGUGUGAUAAUUAUCUACGCUAUUGACAUGAAGCAAAGGUUCAGCUUCUAACUGUCCAUUGACUUGGACAACUUUAUUAAUGUGACCUCAAAUCAGGUAGGACUACCCGCU
This 619-nucleotide ribosomal RNA is filed under the name Calonarius parasuaveolens. Its description in RNAcentral is "eukaryotic LSU rRNA". The stretch from base 253 to 406 matches the Rfam family "5.8S ribosomal RNA". Lineage: Eukaryota; Fungi; Basidiomycota; Agaricomycetes; Agaricales; Cortinariaceae. The record is from RNAcentral.